GACUUAUAAUUAGUAUACAAUUUUGAUUGUGAAAUCUCAGACAUUCCUCGAGCAAGUACGAGCUAUAAAAAAGCUUGUCAGUUGACUGACACAGUGUGAGUGAAAUGAAUUUUUCUUUAAUACAGUCGUCGAUGAUUUGAUGCGAAAGAAAAAAAUGGUAAUAAUGCUCGAAACAGAUUCGAAUUAGAACACAUCGGUGCAGCGGAGACAGGUAUAUUUCAAACUUCUUCAAAAGUGGCCUCGUCGCUCGGAAUUUGGUCGAAAAUGUGUAGGUGAAUCUAACACACAUUUGUUCAUCUGGCGUCAUGGAUGAGUUUGAAUGGCGGAUGAAGAAAAUCUUUAUAUGUCGUGCGCAGAGCCAUUCCGGCCACCUUGCAAUGUCACAAUCGAAAUCAAAUGUCACAUCGCAUAAAUAGGCUGCAGCCUUGCCAAAUGGGUUUCUAAUGUAACACAGCUAAUCGUUUGGCUAUGGUAAUCUUUCAGCAGCUAAAAUCGCUAUUGAAAAAAUUUCCAACUCCUGUCGAUUUGAAUAGAACCAAAUUUUCUGCUAUGCUAUACACAUAAUAAUGACAAAUAAUUUUACUUACAACGAUAAAAUGAUCGAUUGAUGAUGCAAUAAUAACAAUUACCACUAGUGAGUAAAUUAUACGCUCUUUCAAAAUGGAAACAUUUUCUAUCCCACCACACAAUUUAAACUGCAUGUACAUUAUUCAUUUGCUAAGAUUGAUUUGGAAAUAUACUAGUCAUCCUCGUGACGAUAAGCGUAGUUACUUUUAGAUGCGUGUCUUGAAA
Long non-coding RNA from Neodiprion fabricii, 792 nucleotides. RefSeq lists it as uncharacterized. The record is from RefSeq and is a predicted model, not a curated record. NCBI's taxonomy places the organism in Eukaryota, Metazoa, Arthropoda, Insecta, Hymenoptera, Diprionidae. The transcript has 2 exons.